GAUGAACGCUGGCGGCGUGCCUAAUACAUGCAAGUCGAGCGAACGGACGAGAAGCUUGCUUUUCUGAUGUUAGCGGCGGACGGGUGAGUAACACGUGGAUAACCUACCUAUAAGACUGGGAUAACUUCGGGAAACCGGAGCUAAUACCGGAUAAUAUUUUGAACCGCAUGGUUCAAAAGUGAAAGACGGUCUUGCUGUCACUUAUAGAUGGAUCCGCGCUGCAUUAGCUAGUUGGUAAGGUAACGGCUUACCAGGGCAACGAUGCAUAGCCGACCUGAGAGGGUGAUCGGCCACACUGGAACUGAGACACGGUCCAGACUCCUACGGGAGGCAGCAGUAGGGAAUCUUCCGCAAUGGGCGAAAGCCUGACGGAGCAACGCCGCGUGAGUGAUGAAGGUCUUCGGAUCGUAAAACUCUGUUAUUAGGGAAGAACAUAUGUGUAAGUAACUGUGCACAUCUUGACGGUACCUAAUCAGAAAGCCACGGCUAACUACGUGCCAGCAGCCGCGGUAAUACGUAGGUGGCAAGCGUUAUCCGGAAUUAUUGGGCGUAAAGCGCGCGUAGGCGGUUUUUUAAGUCUGAUGUGAAAGCCCACGGCUCAACCGUGGAGGGUCAUUGGAAACUGGAAAACUUGAGUGCAGAAGAGGAAAGUGGAAUUCCAUGUGUAGCGGUGAAAUGCGCAGAGAUGUGGAGGAACACCAGUGGCGAAGGCGACUUUCUGGUCUGUAACUGACGCUGAUGUGCGAAAGCGUGGGGAUCAAACAGGAUUAGAUACCCUGGUAGUCCACGCCGUAAACGAUGAGUGCUAAGUGUUAGGGGGUUUCCGCCCCUUAGUGCUGCAGCUAACGCAUUAAGCACUCCGCCUGGGGAGUACGACCGCAAGGUUGAAACUCAAAGGAAUUGACGGGGGCCCGCACAAGCGGUGGAGCAUGUGGUUUAAUUCGAAGCAACGCGAAGAACCUUACCAAAUCUUGACAUCCUUUGACAACUCUAGAGAUAGAGCCUUCCCCUUCGGGGGACAAAGUGACAGGUGGUGCAUGGUUGUCGUCAGCUCGUGUCGUGAGAUGUUGGGUUAAGUCCCGCAACGAGCGCAACCCUUAAGCUUAGUUGCCAUCAUUAAGUUGGGCACUCUAAGUUGACUGCCGGUGACAAACCGGAGGAAGGUGGGGAUGACGUCAAAUCAUCAUGCCCCUUAUGAUUUGGGCUACACACGUGCUACAAUGGACAAUACAAAGGGCAGCGAAACCGCGAGGUCAAGCAAAUCCCAUAAAGUUGUUCUCAGUUCGGAUUGUAGUCUGCAACUCGACUACAUGAAGCUGGAAUCGCUAGUAAUCGUAGAUCAGCAUGCUACGGUGAAUACGUUCCCGGGUCU
RNAcentral lists this ribosomal RNA (1372 nucleotides) under uncultured bacterium. Its description in RNAcentral is "bacterial SSU rRNA". It matches the Rfam family "Bacterial small subunit ribosomal RNA", at positions 28 to 1381 of the family's 1533-position model. The record is from RNAcentral.